This 552-nucleotide ribosomal RNA is filed under the name Shigella sonnei. RNAcentral describes it as "partial 23S ribosomal RNA". It matches the Rfam family "Bacterial large subunit ribosomal RNA", at positions 1233 to 1779 of the family's 2925-position model. The record is from RNAcentral. Lineage: Bacteria; Pseudomonadati; Pseudomonadota; Gammaproteobacteria; Enterobacterales; Enterobacteriaceae.
GGAGCGUUCUGUAAGCCUGCGAAGGUGUGCUGUGAGGCAUGCUGGAGGUAUCAGAAGUGCGAAUGCUGACAUAAGUAACGAUAAAGCGGGUGAAAAGCCCGCUCGCCGGAAGACCAAGGGUUCCUGUCCAACGUUAAUCGGGGCAGGGUGAGUCGACCCCUAAGGCGAGGCCGAAAGGCGUAGUCGAUGGGAAACAGGUUAAUAUUCCUGUACUUGGUGUUACUGCGAAGGGGGGACGGAGAAGGCUAUGUUGGCCGGGCGACGGUUGUCCCGGUUUAAGCGUGUAGGCUGGUUUUCCAGGCAAAUCCGGAAAAUCAAGGCUGAGGCGUGAUGACGAGGCACUACGGUGCUGAAGCAACAAAUGCCCUGCUUCCAGGAAAAGCCUCUAAGCAUCAGGUAACAUCAAAUCGUACCCCAAACCGACACAGGUGGUCAGGUAGAGAAUACCAAGGCGCUUGAGAGAACUCGGGUGAAGGAACUAGGCAAAAUGGUGCCGUAACUUCGGGAGAAGGCACGCUGAUAUGUAGGUGAAGUCCCUUGCGGAUGGAGCUG